CUUUAUUUACGGGGUUGUGCAUGGACGACCAGGUCGUGGCGACCCAUGAAAACCUUGGCCUCGUUGUUUAUCCAUAGCAUCGACCGACUGGCAGAGGUGCCCCUGGACAGAAAAAGUGCUCGUCCAACCAGGCCGAAACCCUGGGACUACUGUAGAGGCACAGAUAACGACGGGCCUCUGCGGCCAGGUGCGGACCAAAGCGGUCGGUGGCAAAGGCCAAGAGACCCGCAUGGUCUGUCCGACAGGCAACCUCGGCCAGAAACAGACCAUUGCCCAGCAAGCCCGACUGCGCCAGGCGCUCGCACAUCGGGGCGACAUUGUGGGCGCCACCGCGCCACUUGAUCAUAUGUUUGAGCGCGCCGGCGAGUUGUGAUGAGCCAAGGGACACACCUUGUGCGCACAAAAAGGAUACUGCAUCUACGUGACCACAGGCAAUGGCAUCGCAUAGGGCCCGCUUCAUGACAUCGGGCGCGUCGUUAAUGUUGCCACCCUCCAAGCGUCGGACAUCGCCCAAGAGCCACGCUAGGACAUCAGUGCGCCCGCCCUGACUGGCGCGGAUCAAUGCGCGUGCCCACAGUGCCGCAUCGCGUCGCGCCGAGUGCGGCGGCAAGAGGGUCCAGGCGCGCGCCAGCGCCGACAGGUGGCCGUCGCCGGCGGCGGUGCGCACGAGUUGCUCGGCCACGAGGCCCGCAGCGGCGUCGGUUAGCAGCCCCCGAUCGUGGAGCCAAAACAUGACGUCGGGCCGUGAAGCGGUGACGGCACUCUCGGCCACGUGGGUAAAGGUCGGCGCGUCGACAUUGUACCGGGCAACGAUCGCCUCGAUGACAUCCAUACGGCCGGCCCUGGCAGCCGCGCAGAGCACGUCUGACAGCAACCCACCAAGUCGGUUGUGAAUGUCAACAAGGUAGAGCGCGGCCUCGACGUGACCAUGUUUGGCGGCCUCGACGGCGGCGUAUUCGACUGCCUGCCUGCGUGUCUCUUGCCGCUCGCAGAGAUUGUCGCACUCGCACGCAUAACCCAGGUCGCGCAUGUAGAGUGGGCACAGGCAGACGCCAGCAGGUUUGUCGCCGUCGGGGAUGCCUGUGAUUGCACAGGCAAAGACAAGUGCGUCGACGCGCCCGCGCUGCGCCGGCCCCAGCAUGAUCGUACCGUGGUCGACGCAGAGUCGGCGCGCCCAGCGGUUCCACACGGCGGCCAUGACCUCUACGGGUUCGUCCGUGUCAAACACGUUGGGCGGUUCGCGCUGGUCGGGCGUGUAGCGCCACAUGCGCCGCUGGGUGUCGGUGGCGGCCUCGUAAAAGAGCCGCGACGCCAACAUGCACGCAACAAAAUCGCGGGCGUCGUCGAUAUGGGCCAAGACGGCGGCGCGCAUCUCGACGGGCAACGUGGUCCAUGUCGCCAUUGUUGUUGCGGGGGCGCGACCAACGACAACAACGACAAAACAACAACUCGGGCGAAGAGGCAACAACACCUUGUGAAAAGAUCCUAGUUUGUUCGCCCUCUAUCUUUUUUUGCCUCUCUUUCGCCUUGAUUUGCAAACCGAAGCACCAACCACAAAAAAUAGUAUGUUGAACCCCC
This 1578-nucleotide long non-coding RNA is filed under the name Pandoravirus quercus. RNAcentral describes it as "hypothetical ncRNA". The record is from RNAcentral.